RNAcentral lists this microRNA precursor (92 nucleotides) under Canis lupus familiaris (dog). RNAcentral's name for it is "mir-8799 microRNA precursor family". It matches the Rfam family "mir-8799 microRNA precursor family". Lineage: Eukaryota; Metazoa; Chordata; Mammalia; Carnivora; Canidae. RNAcentral also lists the same sequence under 1 other name. The record is from Rfam by way of RNAcentral.
GGGAGAGGGCAGGAUCCUAGGCUGUGUCUGCCCGGCGCCCUGGGCUCCAGGGCCUGUGCUGCUGGAAUCGCGCACCCGGGCCUGCGGCUCCU